Non-coding RNA from Rattus norvegicus (Norway rat), 69 nucleotides. The record is from Rfam. Lineage: Eukaryota; Metazoa; Chordata; Mammalia; Rodentia; Muridae.
GGAGAUUUAGCUCAGCGGUAGAGCGCUUGCCUAGCAAACGCAAGGCCCUGGGUUCAGUCCCCAGCUCCG